Molecule: ribosomal RNA, 274 nt
Filed under: uncultured bacterium
Lineage: Bacteria
Description: partial 16S ribosomal RNA
Rfam family: Bacterial small subunit ribosomal RNA
Source: RNAcentral
AUACGGAGGGUGCGAGCGUUAAUCGGAAUUACUGGGCGUAAAGCGCGCGUAGGCGGUUUGGUCAGUCGGAUGUGAAAGCCCCAGGCUCAACCUGGGAAUGGCAUUCGAUACUGCCUGACUAGAGUAUGGUAGAGGGAAGUGGAAUUUCCGGUGUAGCGGUGAAAUGCGUAGAUAUCGGAAGGAACACCAGUGGCGAAGGCGGCUUCCUGGGCCAAUACUGACGCUGAGGUGCGAAAGCGUGGGGAGCAAACAGGAUUAGAAACCCCAGUAGUCC